UCUCUAUUAAAAAAAAAAUUGGUUGGUAAUUUUUUCUGCUAUUCUCCAAAAUUCUCCAAAAAAAGCUCAAUUUCAAUGAAUGAGGACUAUUAGUAUGUCAUUAUACAUAUUUUAAUUCAACUAUUAAUAAGACAAAAUUUGGUUGGGAAUUUUUUAAGAAAUUUUUCCUUUGUUGACUGGCCUAGAUGUCAAUUUUAAACUUGUAAUUGAGCUAAAAGUUAUGGUAAUAUAUUCAAUUUUUUUUGCUAUAAACUUUCAUAAAUCUUUAUAAAAAAUUUUUCAUCAAUUUUAAAGAACCAAAAAAAUAGGUUAAAAAUGAAAAUUUGGACUGAUUAUUGUUAACAUAUUAAAAAUCAAAUCAGUAAUAAUUUGAAAACAAUUUUUUUUUCUUUUAAUUAUUUUUUAUAUGUAAUUAGUAAUAAUAUAAAAAAUUAGAACUGAUAGAUAAAGUCUAAUUGCAGAUUUGAAAACAACGCGAAACUUUGAUUUAGAAAAGUAUAUUUUUGCUUCUGAUGAAAGUUCCUUGAAGUCCAUGCAUUUUUUUAUAGUAACAAACAGUUUUUAUUGAAAAUUAUUGUAUCAAGCCCUUUAAAUUUUUAUACACGUAAAAGUAAAGCAAAAUAUAACUUCUUUAUUAUUUUUAUAAUUUCUCCGUUUAAAUUACAAUAUUAAAUAUCAAUUUCAUACUAAAUUUAAUAAUUAUAAUUAGUAUAUAUUCAAAUAUUAUAUUUUAAAAUCAAAGAACUACUAAUCAUGAUAUAAUUAAAGAAAUAAGAGUUGAUGUUGCUUUUGGAAUAAUCCACCAAUUGCCUAAUUAAAACAAAAAAAAAAAAAGUUUGUUGGGAAUUUUUUCUGCUAUUCUGCAAAAUUACUCCUUCGUUGACUAGAAUGAAUCAUUAAAUAGAAAAUUUUAUGAGAAUUAAAACAAUGUUAUUUUUAAGAUUAAUAUGCAGUCAGAAAGUUUUAUAAUUAUUAUUUAUUGUAAAUUUAUCAGAAAAACUCAUUAUUUUUUGCAUUUUUAUCGUAAUAGAACACUUAAAUAGAAAUCAUAGUAAUCAUUUCUAAGUAAUUUUUGAUAUUUAAAAAGAUUCUACUAUUGAAAUAUCCAGAACUGAAUUAAUUUUAAUGAUUUACUUUAACUAAAAAAAAAAAAGUUAAUAUUUUGAAUCCCUCUUGUGGGCAGGUAAAGGGUUAGAUUUAUAAAAAAAACCAAAUGAUA
Daktulosphaira vitifoliae (grape phylloxera) is the source of this 1219-nucleotide long non-coding RNA. RefSeq lists it as uncharacterized. NCBI's taxonomy places the organism in Eukaryota, Metazoa, Arthropoda, Insecta, Hemiptera, Phylloxeridae. The record is from RefSeq and is a predicted model, not a curated record. The transcript has 2 exons.